GAUGAACGCUGGCGGCGUGCUUAACACAUGCAAGUCGAACGGAAAGGCCCAAGUUUGCUUGGGUACUCGAGUGGCGAACGGGUGAGUAACACGUGGGUGAUCUGCCCUGCACUUCGGGAUAAGCCUGGGAAACUGGGUCUAAUACCGGAUAGGACCACUUCUUGGAUGUUGUGGUGGAAAGUUUUUUCGGUGUGGGGUGGGCUCGCGGCCUAUCUGCUUGUUGGGGGGGUGAUGGCCUACCAAGGCGUUGGCGGGUGGCCGGCCUGGGGGGGGGGACGGGCACAAUUGGACUGGGGUACGGCCCCGACCCCUACCGGGGGCAACCGGUGGGAAUAUUGCACAAUGGGCGCGAGCCUGAUGCAGCGACGCCGGGGUGGGGAAGACCGCCUUCGGGUUGUAAACUCCUUUCGCUAGGGACGAAGCGGUGUGUGACGGUACCUGGAGAAGAAGCACCGGCUAACUACGUG
RNAcentral lists this ribosomal RNA (467 nucleotides) under uncultured bacterium. RNAcentral's name for it is "partial 16S ribosomal RNA". It matches the Rfam family "Bacterial small subunit ribosomal RNA", at positions 28 to 507 of the family's 1533-position model. The record is from RNAcentral.